CCUACGGGCGGCAGCAGUGAGGAAUAUUGCGCAAUGCUCGUAAGAGUGACGCAGCGACGCCGCGUGAAUGACGAAGGCCUUCGGGUCGUAAAGUUCUUUCGACAGGGAAGAAAAUGCCUAUAAGUAACUGUGUAUGUGUUGACGGUACCUGUAUAAGCAGCGCCGGCUAACUCCGUGCCAGCAGCCGCGGUAAUACGGAGGGGGCGAGCGUUGUUCGGAGUGACUGGGCGUAAAGAGCACGUAGGCGGUGUUGUAAGUCAUUAGUCAAAGACUAGAGCUCAACUUUAGUAAGGCUAGUGAUACUAUAAUACUGGAGUAUCAGAGAGGAUUGCAGAAUUCCUGGUGUAGCGGUGAAAUGCGUAGAUAUCAGGAGGAAUACCGUUAGCGAAGGCGGCAAUCUGGCUGGAAACUGACGCUGAGGUGCGAAAGCGUGGGUAGCAAACAGGAUUAGAUACCCGGGUAGUC
RNAcentral lists this ribosomal RNA (465 nucleotides) under uncultured bacterium. RNAcentral describes it as "partial 16S ribosomal RNA". It matches the Rfam family "Bacterial small subunit ribosomal RNA", at positions 338 to 795 of the family's 1533-position model. The record is from RNAcentral.